Molecule: RNA transcript, 3615 nt
Organism: Solanum dulcamara
Lineage: Eukaryota; Viridiplantae; Streptophyta; Magnoliopsida; Solanales; Solanaceae
Gene name: serine/threonine receptor-like kinase NFP
Exons: 3
Source: RefSeq, a predicted model, not a curated record
CUCAGGCUCUGACUUUAUUUCUAUGUAAGAUAGGUUUUCAGAGAUUCUUAAAAUUGUUAUCAUGGAAAAACUAAGCUGCUCUUUGUAUCCCAUGUCAUUUCAGUUGGAAGGGCAGAAAUCUUGAUUCUCACUUGAUCUUGAAAGAGACAAUAAAACUAGCAACAAAACUAACAGAAGCCAUUUCCUGGAUACGUUUCUGGUGUUGGGUUGAGAGUGGAAAAUAUUUUCUGAUUUUUUAAAAUAAAAUAUUCAUAACAAUAGUGGCAUGAUGAAAUUGUUUUGAUUAUAUUUUUGAAUAUUGAAGAUUGAUAAUAACGUCUAAAUGUUGGUUAAAUCAAUGAUAUGAAGUUUAAUACUUGAGAUAACUGUGAAGGUGAGGGAAGUCAUUUUCCUCCUCUAGUGAAAAAUGUUUUCCUUGGAAAAUAUUUUCUGGCUAUUAGACCCUGAAGAUGACUUAUUUUCUGGAAAAUAUCCUCUGAAAAAUAUUGUUCAUCAUACCAAAGUAUGCCUGGAAUGUCUCCAAGAAACUGACAAUUGUAAUUUUUUCGUACUUUAUUAUGUCCCUUUCUCCUAAGGUAAGAGAUUGAGACGAGCUCGCUUGCAUGAGUUAAGCAUAUUCCUAUUGACAACCACCUCUGAGAACUCACCCGUAUCUCUACUUUUUUAUUCUCAGUUGUUUACUUUAUGAACUUUGGUAGGAAGGAGGGAUCUGUGCCGUCUGGAUUUGGUUCUAGUAUUAAUCUAUUUGCUGGAGCUUCCCUAGAAAAGAACUGAAAGGGAAUGUCAUAGUCAAGGAGAAAAGACAGCUGCUUAAAAUAUGGAGAGUAUGCAGAGAAGACAAGAGGGUAUCUCACAGACAAAGCUACAGACAAGACCUCCUAGAUAUUCUUUUUUUUUCCCUAUCCUUGCAACCUCUAGAAUUUCUGUAUCUUUCACAUUAAAGUUUAAUAAAUUCCUAAAAUACACACUUGCUCAAGCUAACAAAUAUAACUUACUAGCUGGUGCCUUGCUAUCUAAGCUUGCAGCAAUGGUAGUUCCUCUUGUCUCCUUGUUUUACAACUUUUUCCUCUUUGUCAUACUUUCGUCCUCCAACGUAAAUGCUCAAACAUCUAGCACAGACACAGACUUUUCGUGCUCGUUAAACUCUUCCUUUUCUUGUGAUACUUAUGUUUCAUAUCGUGCCCGUCAGCCAUAUUAUUUUGAUGUCGGAAGUAUCUCUGAUCUUCUUGAAGUCAGUCGUUUAAGUAUAGCUAAGGCCACAGGUCUAGCCUCAGAGGAUACCGAGCUAUUCCCUGACCAGAUUUUACUCGUACCCGUUAAAUGCUUCUGCAAUAGUUCUCAAUAUUUCUCCAACGUCACCUAUCAGAUCAAGAAAGGUGACAGCUUUUAUUCUGUUUCUAUAGGAGCUUUUGAGAACCUUACCAACUAUCAUGUGGUGCAAGAUAUGAAUCCAACACUAGAUCCAACCAACUUGACAGUUGGUGCAGAAGCAGUUUUUCCUUUGUUCUGUAAAUGCCCCACACAGUCUGAUCUUGAAAUGGGACUUCAGUACCUUGUCACUUAUGUGUGGCAGCCUUGGGAUGAUAUAUUGCCUGUAAGCAAUAUGUUUGGAGCAUCUGCAGCUGACAUUCUGGCUGCCAACAAUUACAGAAAUUUCACUGCUGCAAUAUGUUCUCCUGUCUUGAUACCGGUAAAACUUCCUACUAUUCUGCAAUCUUACCCCUCUUCUGCAAGCAGAAGAAAAUCCAAACAUGAAUGGAUCCUCAUUACUGUUUUAAGUAUUAUGGGGUUGCUUGCAGUUUUUUCAUUUUGCUUGUUUGUAUACAUGCGUCUUUUAGAUGAGAAGAGGAGGGCUAAUUUAGCCCGUAACUCUUCUAUUCUUGAAACUUCUGAUCUCUUUCAUACCAAGAAAGCCUCCGAAGGUGAAAUUAUGGACCAUAAGAACAUUCAAGAUAAGCUUCUUCCUGGAGUUUCUGGCUAUAUUGGAAAGCCAAUAAUAUAUGACCUGAAGAUCAUCAUGGAGGCGACUCUUGACCUCAGUGAGAAGUACAGGAUAGGAGGAUCCGUGUACAAGGCUACACUUAACGACCAAGUUGUAGCUGUCAAGAAAACUAAACAAGCCUCGGAAGAAUUGACUAUACUUCAAAAACUACAUCAUGGAAAUCUGGUGAAACUAGAGGGCAUUUCAUCAGACGAUCAUGAGAAUUCCUAUUUGGUUUAUGAAUAUGCUGAAAAUGGCUCACUGGAUCAAUGGUUGUUUCCCGGAUCAUCAUCGACUUCUUCUGCCUCUGGCUCAGUGGUAUCGCUUGGUUGGAGCCAACGAUUACACGUAGCCUUGGAUGUUGCAAACGCUCUGCAAUACCUGCAUGAACAUACUCAACCUAGUAUAGUUCACGGGGACAUCCGAACGUGUAGCAUACUUCUUGAUUCAAGGUUUAAAGCCAAAAUUGCAGGUUUCUCUACAGCCAGACAUGCUACCAACUCAAUGAUGCUGAAAGUUGACGUGUUUGCUUUCGGGCUUGUGCUGUUGGAGUUGCUUUCAGGGAAGAAAGCAAUGGAAUCAAAAGAUUAUAAUGAUGAGACUCUGAUCAUGUGCAAAGAAAUUAAUGAAAUUUUGGAAAUUGAAAAUAACAGAGAGGAGAAGUUUAAAAGGUGGAUGGAUCCGAUGCUGAACUUUUACCCUGUUGAUGAUGCUCUAAACUUGGCUGCCUUGGCGAAGGUGUGCACAUCGGAGAAAUCAGCAGAGAGGCCUAAGAUGACAGAUAUUGUCUUCAACCUUUGUUUUCUUGCUCAAUCAUCUUUUGAAAUGUAUGGAAGGUCUUGGACUUCAGGUGAAGCUGAGGAGAUUGUUCAGAUUGUUAGUCCACUAAUAGCACGUUGAGUUAAAGAUGUUGCGUAAAUAUAGUCCAAGAACUUUUGUCAGUUCGUCUCAAAUUUGUAACAUAUUCUGGAUUAUAAAGCAAGAGGAACAGCUGAUCUCCAGAAUAUAUUGCAAAUUCGAGUUCUGGUGUCCAUCUUUUCCCUGUAUUUCUCUCGCAAAAAAUACAGGAGAGUACAGAUGCCUUUCCUUCCUUGUUAAGUCAAACAAAUAAAGGAGAAAGGAAAAAGGCCUAUAAACAAUCUUUAGUGAAGUUCCUCCUUCCCAAUCUCUCCUACAACAGCAGUUUUGUCAAAGGAUGGAGUAGGCAUACUGACUACUCUUAAUCGGCGUGGACGGAGAAAAAGUAGUAGCUAAAUGAAAGAUAAAGGCACUGGGGGAGAACUAACGAAGGAUAUGGUAUAGAUUGACAGAAGCUAAAACAUAAUUGUCUAAAGACUCCAUAAGCAUCCAAAGUUGUCUACGCAUUGAUAGUGAAAAGGUAAAACAUAAUUACGUAAGUAUAUUUACAAAGCCAAGAGCAAUUCAUCUGAGCCAGCAAAUGUGUAUUUAGUUAUGCCACAACUGCGUAAAUUUUUAUCUGCCUGUUAUUGUCAUGUUGGGCUAAUUCUGUUAUCAAUAUUGACUGAUCUGUUGAUAGACUAUAAGUAGGCCACUUGCUAUUGCAUAAUAUUGCUCGCCUUUAUACAUAGCUUGCUACGCUAGGGGCACAGCUACCGUACAAGGUAGGAGUAUGA